This 539-nucleotide ribosomal RNA is filed under the name Rhabdoblatta melanosoma. RNAcentral's name for it is "eukaryotic LSU rRNA". Lineage: Eukaryota; Metazoa; Arthropoda; Insecta; Blattodea; Blaberidae. The record is from RNAcentral.
UUCACAGUACGUGAACCGUUCAGGGGUAAACGGGAGAGACCCGAAAGGUCGAAAGGGGGAGACUCAAUCCCGCCCGCAAGUCCGGUGCCGUCUCCGGUCCCCAAGGAUGCUGCUGGCCACCGGCCGUGUCGCAAGGCACGAGCCGGGUCUUAGUCGGUGGCACCGGGACUGGGGGUCCGGCUGCGGCGAGAUGCACUUCUCCCCCGAGUAGGACGUCGCGACCCGUUGGGCGUUGUACUCUGGCCUAAGGCCCGGGAUGAGACCGAGGGGACCGCCACGUGACUGCGUGGAGCUACGGUCCCCCGGACCCUGGAAGUCCUGGCCGGUGCCCGACGGCAUGUAUCGCGGAGAAGGCCCGCUCCCUCGCAGAGCGAGCGUCUGGCCCGGUGGGCAAGCUCGACGCCGGGGUUAGUGGUGCCGUGGCUUCCGUCACGUCCCCGCCCCCCGUCGGCUGCUGGCCUCCGGAGUCCUCAGACGGUGGCCAUCUCCCGUCUGCGGCGCUUAUGCUUCGGGUGCUUUCCCGACCCGUCUUGAAACAC